CCCUUAGAUGUUCGGAGCCGCACGCGUGCUACACUGAACGGUUCAAUGGGUGAGGUAGUGCGAAAGCAUGACCCAAUCUCAAAAUCCGUUCGUGCUGGGGAUAGAAGCUUGCAAUUCUCCUUCUUGAACGAGGAAUACCUUGUAAGCGCGAGUCAUCAUCUCGCGCUGAAUACGUCCCUGCCCUUUGUACACACCGCCCGUCGCUCCUACCGAUUGAGUGGUCCGGUGAGGCUUCGGGAGAGCUAAAUGGAUUGUGUUUCACAAACUAUUUGGCUUGAACUUAGUCAAACCUUACUACUUAGAGGAAGGAGAAGUCGUAACA
RNAcentral lists this ribosomal RNA (322 nucleotides) under uncultured eukaryote. RNAcentral describes it as "partial 18S ribosomal RNA". It matches the Rfam family "Eukaryotic small subunit ribosomal RNA", at positions 1470 to 1796 of the family's 1831-position model. The record is from RNAcentral.